Molecule: long non-coding RNA, 753 nt
Filed under: Anser brachyrhynchus (Pink-footed goose)
Lineage: Eukaryota; Metazoa; Chordata; Aves; Anseriformes; Anatidae
Description: lncRNA (ENSABRG00000008887.1)
Source: RNAcentral
CCCAGCUCCCCAGCUUUACCAGGGAGCUUGCCCUCUAGGACAAGUGCCUUGCACAGCUGAGGGUGGUCAGAGUAUUUAAAACCUGGAGGAAGCACCUCCUUCUUACUGCAGAAAGUUGUGUGGGAAAGAGAGAUUGCUCUCUUAGAAGAGGGAAGUCAGCAAGAGAUUGUAUGGACUGUUUUUUUUGGCUGGCUUGGCUCAUGGUGCUAUUGAAGCAAGAAGAUGAAGCAGCGUCCUGUGAAACAGCAGAGGUGGGAGCAGGUCUGUGAUGACUUACCUUGCAGUGGAGCCUUUCGAGUUGUCAUUUUUCACUAGCAAGUGUAUCCUCCACUGAAUCUUAGAUUUUAUGUCAGCGUGUACGUGAACAAAUAUUUUUCAUCUAAGCUGCCAAAUGGGAUAGAUGCAUGUAGUGCAUUAUUAGCUCUUAACUUCUGCCACAUACAACAGUAACCAGCCACUUUGAGUUGACAGUAGGAUUGCAGUAUUGACUCCCUCCUCCCAGUAUUUUUCUCCAUAGCACUCAGUGGGAGUUAUCAAAUUUGGAGUUACCCUUUUUCUAGAGCAAAGAUGACCGUGAAUCACAAGGCAGAGAGUCUUCAGUUACACUUUGUUAAUCAAGUGCUUAUGGGUAGUUUUGUAUCGAUAUAUUUUUUCCUUUAGAAAGUUCAGUUUCUGCAAGCUAAAGAGAAAGAAUCAGGCCUUCCAAAAAUUUGUUGGCUUUUUGUUUGUUUUGUUGGUUGGGUUUGAUUAUUU